UGGCAAUGAUGACAAAAAGGCCGGUCUUACAGCUGCCACAGGAUCUCUUUAGUUGGUAGUAGAAUGAUGUGAGAUAUCUUAAAGGUGUUAACUGAGCCAU
This is a small nucleolar RNA of Magnolia sinica, 100 nucleotides long. RefSeq annotates it as small nucleolar RNA snoR113. The transcript has a single exon. NCBI's taxonomy places the organism in Eukaryota, Viridiplantae, Streptophyta, Magnoliopsida, Magnoliales, Magnoliaceae. The record is from RefSeq and is a predicted model, not a curated record.